GGAGAGAUGGCCGAGUGGUUUAAGGCGCAGUCCUGGAAAGACUGUUUACUCGAAAGGGUAGCUAGGGUUCGAAUCCCUAUCUCUCCG
Molecule: transfer RNA, 87 nt
Filed under: Endomicrobium sp.
Lineage: Bacteria; Pseudomonadati; Elusimicrobiota; Endomicrobiia; Endomicrobiales; Endomicrobiaceae
Description: tRNA-Ser
Rfam family: tRNA
About the family: Transfer RNA (tRNA) molecules are approximately 80 nucleotides in length. Their secondary structure includes four short double-helical elements and three loops (D, anti-codon, and T loops). Further hydrogen bonds mediate the characteristic L-shaped molecular structure. tRNAs have two regions of fundamental functional importance: the anti-codon, which is responsible for specific mRNA codon recognition, and the 3' end, to which the tRNAs corresponding amino acid is attached (by aminoacyl-tRNA synthetases). tRNAs cope with the degeneracy of the genetic code in two manners: having more than one tRNA (with a specific anti-codon) for a particular amino acid; and 'wobble' base-pairing, i.e. permitting non-standard base-pairing at the 3rd anti-codon position.
Source: RNAcentral